AUGCACCGAAGCUGCGGCAGCGACACUAUGUGUUGUUGGGUAGGGGAGCGUUCUGUAAGCCUGUGAAGGUGUGUCGUGAGGCAUGCUGGAGGUAUCAGAAGUGCGAAUGCUGACAUAAGUAACGAUAAAGCGGGUGAAAAGCCCGCUCGCCGGAAGACCAAGGGUUCCUGUCCAACGUUAAUCGGGGCAGGGUGAGUCGACCCCUAAGGCGAGGCCGAAAGGCGUAGUCGAUGGGAAACGGGUUAAUAUUCCCGUACUUGGUGUUACUGCGAAGGGGGGACGGAGAAGGCUAUGUUGGCCGGGCGACGGUUGUCCCGGUUUAAGCGUGUAGGUGUGUGUUCCAGGUAAAUCCGGUUCACUUUAACACUGAGGCGUGACGACGAGGCACUACGGUGCUGAAGCAACAAAUGCCCUGCUUCCAGGAAAAGCCUCUAAGCAUCAGGUAACAUCAAAUCGUACCCCAAACCGACACAGGUGGUCAGGUAGAGAAUACCAAGGCGCUUGAGAGAACUCGGGUGAAGGAACUAGGCAAAAUGGUGCCGUAACUUCGGGAGAAGGCACGCUGACACGUAGGUGAAGUGAUUUACUCAUGGAGCUGAAGUCAGUCGAAGAUACCAGCUGGCUGCAACUGUUUAUUAAAAACACAGCACUGUGCAAACACGAAAGUGGACGUAUACGGUGUGACGCCUGCCCGGUGCCGGAAGGUUAAUUGAUGGGGUCAGCGCAAGCGAAGCUCCUGAUCGAAGCCCCGGUAAACGGCGGCCGUAACUAUAACGGUCCUAAGGUAGCGAAAUUCCUUGUCGGGUAAGUUCCGACCUGCACGAAUGGCGUAAUGAUGGCCAGGCUGUCUCCACCCGAGACUCAGUGAAAUUGAACUCGCUGUGAAGAUGCAGUGUACCCGCGGCAAGACGGAAAGACCCCGUGAACCUUUACUAUAGCUUGACACUGAACAUUGAGCCUUGAUGUGUAGGAUAGGUGGGAGGCUUUGAAGUGUGGACGCCAGUCUGCAUGGAGCCGACCUUGAAAUACCACCCUUUAAUGUUUGAUGUUCUAACGUGGACCCGUGAUCCGGGUUGCGGACAGUGUCUGGUGGGUAGUUUGACUGGGGCGGUCUCCUCCUAAAGAGUAACGGAGGAGCACGAAGGUUGGCUAAUCCUGGUCGGACAUCAGGAGGUUAGUGCAAUGGCAUAAGCCAGCUUGACUGCGAGCGUGACGGCGCGAGCAGGUGCGAAAGCAGGUCAUAGUGAUCCGGUGGUUCUGAAUGGAAGGGCCAUCGCUCAACGGAUAAAAGGUACUCCGGGGAUAACAGGCUGAUACCGCCCAAGAGUUCAUAUCGACGGCGGUGUUUGGCACCUCGAUGUCGGCUCAUCACAUCCUGGGGCUGAAGUAGGUCCCAAGGGUAUGGCUGUUCGCCAUUUAAAGUGGUACGCGAGCUGGGUUUAGAACGUCGUGAGACAGUUCGGUCCCUAUCUGCCGUGGGCGCUGGAGAACUGAGGGGGGCUGCUCCUAGUACGAGAGGACCGGAGUGGACGCAUCACUGGUGUUCGGGUUGUCAUGCCAAUGGCACUGCCCGGUAGCUAAAUGCGGAAGAGAUAAGUGCUGAAAGCAUCUAAGCACGAAACUUGCCCCGAGAUGAGUUCUCCCUGAGACUUAAAGUCUCCUGAAGGAACGUUGAAGACGACGACG
This 1686-nucleotide ribosomal RNA is filed under the name Salmonella enterica. Its description in RNAcentral is "partial 23S ribosomal RNA". It matches the Rfam family "Bacterial large subunit ribosomal RNA", at positions 1189 to 2852 of the family's 2925-position model. Lineage: Bacteria; Pseudomonadati; Pseudomonadota; Gammaproteobacteria; Enterobacterales; Enterobacteriaceae. The record is from RNAcentral.